This 253-nucleotide ribosomal RNA is filed under the name uncultured bacterium. RNAcentral describes it as "partial 16S ribosomal RNA". It matches the Rfam family "Bacterial small subunit ribosomal RNA", at positions 526 to 779 of the family's 1533-position model. The record is from RNAcentral.
CGGAGGGAGCUAGCGUUGUUCGGAAUUACUGGGCGUAAAGCGCACGUAGGCGGCAAUUCAAGUCAGGGUGAAAUCCCGGGGCUCAACCCCGGAACUGCCUCUGAAACUGGAUCGCUAGAAUCUUGGAGAGGUCAGUGGAAUUCCGAGUGUAGAGGUGAAAUUCGUAGAUAUUCGGAAGAACACCAGUGGCGAAGGCGACUGACUGGACAAGUAUUGACGCUGAGGUGCGAAAGCGUGGGGAGCAAACAGGAUU